This 503-nucleotide ribosomal RNA is filed under the name uncultured bacterium. RNAcentral describes it as "partial 16S ribosomal RNA". It matches the Rfam family "Bacterial small subunit ribosomal RNA", at positions 30 to 523 of the family's 1533-position model. The record is from RNAcentral.
AUUGAACGCUGGCGGCAGGCUUAACACAUGCAAGUCGAGCGGGGUGAUGGUGCUUGCACUAUCACUUAGCGGCGGACGGGUGAGUAAUGCUUAGGAAUCUGCCUAUUAGUGGGGGACAACAUCUCGUAAGGGAUGCUAAUACCGCAUACGUCCUACGGGAGAAAGCAGGGGAUCACUUGUGACCUUGCGCUAAUAGAUGAGCCUAAGUCGGAUUAGCUAGUUGGUGGGGUAAAGGCCUACCAAGGCGACGAUCUGUAGCGGGUCUGAGAGGAUGAUCCGCCACACUGGGACUGAGACACGGCCCAGACUCCGACGGGAGGCAGCAGUGGGGAAUAUUGGACAAUGGGGGGAACCCUGAUCCAGCCAUGCCGCGUGUGUGAAGAAGGCCUUAUGGUUGUAAAGCACUUUAAGCGAGGAGGAGGCUCUUUUGGUUAAUACCCAAGAUGAGUGGACGUUACUCGCAGAAUAAGCACCGGCUAACUCUGUGCCAGCAGCCGCCGUAA